This 1194-nucleotide long non-coding RNA is filed under the name Ictidomys tridecemlineatus (thirteen-lined ground squirrel). Its description in RNAcentral is "lncRNA (ENSSTOG00000034809.1)". Lineage: Eukaryota; Metazoa; Chordata; Mammalia; Rodentia; Sciuridae. The record is from RNAcentral.
CAGUGUUCCCAAGUCCAGUGGAUCAGUAAGAAGCAGCUGUACCUGACACUGAAAGUAGAGGAGUCCAAUGCCAGUUUCCUCUUGUUCUUUUUCAGAGCUGCAACAGUGAGACACCUUCAGUCCUCAGAUGUCAAGACUUGUAGCUUCUUGAUAAUGCACCAAAGAUGCCAGUCUGGGAGGGGACUGAAGCCAUCCAGCUCCUGGGGAACCUCCUACUGCUAUGAGGAAAAGAGCGAUGACUGCACUUGCUGCUUUGAGCUGAGAGGGGUUGAUGUGCAGUGGGGCCAGCAGUUUGGUGCCCCUUUUUCAAGGGGUCCAUGGUAAAAAUCUGGUUUACCUGUGGAUGGGUGCUUCUAUGAGAGAAACAAAAAGACUUGAGUACUGAAAUAAGAUUAAUACAAAAUAGCAGUUGUAGUAUCUGUAGAAACAAUAAUCUUUCACCAAGAGGUAUAAGAAUUGAGAAGCUGUUACCAUAACAUGGCCAGCCUAACAAAGUCUAGGAAGCUUUUAUUUGGGAAUGUAAAUCUUUAACAUUGUCAGAGUUAUCAGGAAUGUAAGCACAACAUUUAGUUAAGCUACUUAAUGUCAUCUGAUUUUUGUAAAAUGUCUUUUUAUUGACAUGAUCUCUGGGUCAGUAGAGAUCCCUUUAUCUUUGUUACUUAGGGCUAGAUAAUUAUACUAGUAAAUGCUGAUUAAGUCUACCUGUGUAGGAGGUUAGGAAGAUCUGUAAGCCUUAAAACUUCUAGCUCUGUUAGUUUCUCUUGGUAGUUAUCAGGCAUUCUUGCCUAAGAAUCACUCUUAUGUUGCCUUCAGUUUUACUUAUUGUAGGGGACUAACCCAAGUGUACAUCUUAAAUUACAUUAAAAUAACUAUUAUUUCUUAAAUACCCAAGAAUGGCUGUGUUUUGGUUUUAACUUUUUUUGCUGGAUCAAGCUGGUCACCUGACCUUGCUCCUAUCUAUUGUUAAAAGAGUCAGCUGAGUUCCCUUGGGGAACACUCUUGGGGAACUUCUGAGUAGCCUUUUAGCUCUGCUAGUGCCAUCUGCGCUAGGCUGGGUCAUGGUCUUACUGACCAUGUAGUGUCCUUUGGAAGCAUCAGGGAUGUUUUCCCUUUCCAAUGAGCCUCUUCUUUUGCAGCAUGUGUAGUUGGACACAAUACCUUUAUUUUAUAAAUUUAUUUGUAUGUGGUGCUAGG